CCUACGGGAGGCAGCAGUGAGGAAUAUUGGACAAUGGGCGCAAGCCUGAUCCAGCCAUGCCGCGUGCAGGAAGACGGUCCUAUGGAUUGUAAACUGCUUUUGUACGGGAAGAAACACUCCUUCGUGAAGGAGCUUGACGGUACCGUAAGAAUAAGGAUCGGCUAACUCCGUGCCAGCAGCCGCGGUAAUACGGAGGAUCCAAGCGUUAUCCGGAAUCAUUGGGUUUAAAGGGUCCGUAGGCGGUUUAGUAAGUCAGUGGUGAAAGCCCAUCGCUCAACGGUGGAACGGCCAUUGAUACUGCUAGACUUGAAUUAUUAGGAAGUAACUAGAAUAUGUAGUGUAGCGGUGAAAUGCUUAGAGAUUACAUGGAAUACCAAUUGCGAAGGCAGGUUACUACUAAUGGAUUGACGCUGAUGGACGAAAGCGUGGGUAGCGAACAGGAUUAGAUACCCUGGUAGUCCACGCCGUAAACGAUGGAUACUAGCUGUUGGGGGCAACUUCAGUGGCUAAGCGAAAGUGAUAAGUAUCCACCUGGGGAGUACGUUCGCAAGAAUGAAACUUAAAUUGAAAUUGACGGCUUGAGAGNGCGAGACGACACGAGGAGGAGG
RNAcentral lists this ribosomal RNA (608 nucleotides) under uncultured bacterium. RNAcentral's name for it is "bacterial SSU rRNA". It matches the Rfam family "Bacterial small subunit ribosomal RNA", at positions 338 to 950 of the family's 1533-position model. The record is from RNAcentral.